Gopherus flavomarginatus (Mexican gopher tortoise) is the source of this 417-nucleotide long non-coding RNA. RefSeq lists it as uncharacterized. Lineage: Eukaryota; Metazoa; Chordata; Testudines; Testudinidae. The record is from RefSeq and is a predicted model, not a curated record. The transcript is spliced from 2 exons.
UUUAACGCAGGAUGCUGCUGAAAAUCGGUCCCAAUUAAGUGCCCUUCAUGCUGCUCUAGAAACAGAGAAAAGUUGCUGCAUGUGAUUUUAUGUCAUUCCUGCUAUGUGGCUGGAGUGCUUGACCAUUCAUCUUUUCAGUGCCUCAGAGCAGCUGGCAAUUGGGAUGGGGAACAGACACAGAUUAAUGGAUUUGCCCAAGGUCAUCCAGGGAGUCAGUGGCAGACCUUGGAAUUGAACCACCCCCAUCCCACCCCGCUGUCCUAAGUCCCAUUCUAGUGCCUUAGCCACCAGAUCAUACUUCCUCUCUGCAGCCACAUGGUAAGGAGCAGGAGACAUGGGCAAUUGAUUUCUGUUUCAACUGCAAGCCUGUCCUGAGUGAAAGCCCCAUGUUGGUAAUAAAUAUUAUGGCUGAACUCC